UUUUUUUUUUUUGAUUCUAUAAAGACUCAGAUACAUAUAUUUAGAUAUUAAUCCUAUUCUUAAUUUGUUUAUCAUAGCUUUGCUUAUCUUGGGCAUUUGGUGACUUUAAGAAAUACAUGUACCUCUUAACUCCUCAUUUCUCUGAAGCUGCUCUAAGUCUACUUGCUUCACAUUCCCUUCCCCCACACACAUACAGAAAUAUCAAUAUCCCUGAGUAAAACCAACCACUUAGACCCUACUGCAUCGUGGGCAAGAAAGGUAGUCAUCACUAAAGAUCUUUCCUUUGCUCUUGCAUGAUAUUUUUUAUGAAUUUUAAUUAUCAAUCCUCGAGAUUAAUUCAUUUCUUUUUUUGGCUAUUUCCCUACUAUGCCUAAAAAGGAUUUGAUCAAAUAAAUAGAGAUGGGCAAAUAAAAAGUACUACAGUUUGUGCCCCCUCUCACCCACCCCCACUCGCAUUCCCCUUUAUCCACAGAUGGGGAUAAUAAAGACAAAGGAUGUUAGGACAUACUUAGAAGAAAAGUGCAAAUUCCUACAAAUUAUCCACCUAGUGGAAGGAAACCUGAGAAUAUAUAAUAGAUAAAACACAGGUAAGUCAGAGUCAUGAUUCUGCUCAAGGGCUGUAACAAGAAGUUAGUUACUGAGUGAAUAGAAGCUAUGUAUCCCGUGCUCUGCUGUGGCAGGGUUGAGCCCUGGAUGUCAGCAAGUCUUAGUUUAGGGAUUGAAGCUCAGUCCUGAGCACAGGUAGCAAACACCUCCAUCUGUGGAUAAAUAGGAAUUUACUAAACUCCAGAGGAACUAGGAGCAAACUCUCUUUGAUAUAGCUUGGAAUAACUUGCAGUGAGUCAUUUGCUAAUGUAGUUACCAUUGAUGAGAACGUGCUUUUCCCAAGGAAGAUGCCAAGAGAAAACAGUCUACUUUAUGGUGAAUCUAGGAUAAGUGGAACUGAAAGGGACAUUGAAUCAGAUAACCUAUGCAAUUGUGCUUUCUUUACCUAAGGAAUUUUAUGGCAGAUAUCCUUCUAGGAGAGGAGAUGAAAGAAAAGCACUCAAUGCUGGUUAGGCUUUACUAGUUCAUCUUUGCACAAUAGCCACUUAAGUGAUGUUCAGGCCUUCCUAUUAAUUUAGUGCACUGCUGGUUUGAUGAAAUUUCAUGAAACUGUGCCCUCUUCAUUAGUCUAUUUAAAAAUUCCAUGGCUCCCUCAUCACCUAUCAGAUAAAACACCUUACUGUAGAACUUAUUCUGGCCCUUCCACCUGACAUUCCAGUAUUCCUUUCGGCAGUGGUAGGUCAGAGGUAGGGAGGACCCUUCAUUCCACCAAAUUCAUUAACUUUCUCUAUCUUGGACAAGCACUGCCCUUUCCUACCUUUGCAGGUGCUGUUUCUUCUAUCGGCAGUGUUCCUUCAUCCAAACUGAACUUUCCAAGACCCUACCCCUAUUUCAAAUCUUGCUCAUGAACAAGAUACUGUGCUAGGUACUAUGGCUGGAUACAAAGAAGUAUAAGAUAGAGCUGCUUGUGAGAAGCAUAGAGUUUGGUUGGGGAGAAAACAUGAACUAUGUACAAUUAAGUGAGAAAAAAUUAAUGAUAAUUCAAGACAACAAUGGAGAAAAUAAAAUAAGGCAGGACCUGAUUGUGAGAUGAUUUAUCCAGGCAAAAAUUUCUUUGAGGAUUUAAAGAAGGGAGACAUCAUUUUUGAUUAGGAACACUGAAGGUUGCCUUAUAGAGAUAGAAUUUAACCUGGAUCUUAAAUGAUAGAAUAUAUUUUUAUGGAAAUGGUGGAGUUUGCUGUAUGAAGGGAGUGUCAUGAGGAAUAUUAAAUUAUUUUCAUGUCCGAAGAGUAAACUGAUUUGAAAAGAAUGGAAAGUUCAUGUAAAGAAGUGGUAAGAGAUAAUACUUGAAGGAUAUUUGGUGGCUCACUGUUUAGGAUCUUUCAUGGCAGGCUAAUUAGUGACAAUUUUAUCCUGAAAGCAGUUGAGAAGAAUUAAAGAUUCUUGAGCAAAAAAAAGAUAUGGUCAAAAUAGUCUUUUAGGAAGACAUAUCUGAAAGUGUCACACUAGGGGAAGAGCCUAGAAGUGGUUAGACCUCUUUGAAAGCUAUUACAGUAGUCCAGGUAUGAAAUAAGUGCCUCUGUUUUAAGAUUUAACCCUCUAUAUUAUAAUUAGUUGUUUAUUUAUUAUUAAUCUAGAUCGUGAAUGCCUCCACAACAGGGGCUCAAUCCUCUGUCUUUUCAGCACCCAGUACACUCCAGAUGCACAUGAAUAUUUGCACAGCUCAGAUGAAUAACUGAAAUGAAAAUAUGGAGAGAUUAUAAAGGAUCUAUCAGCAGAAUUGGUGACCGAUUAGAGGAAUGAGGAACAAAAUGAAUCAAAGACUGUUUGUGAAGUUAGAAGGCUGAUGGUACUACUAACAGGAAUAGAGAAGUUGGGAAAGGGAGCCAGAUUUUAAGGGAAGAGGGUAAUUUCUAUUUAGAUAUAUUGAGUUUGAGGUGACUAGUACACAUCUGGAUAGAAAUAUAGUUCUGAUGAUUGGAAAUGAAGUCACAGGUAGAGAGCAGCAUCUGGGAGCCAUCUAGAGAAGAAAGAUUGUUGAAGCAUUUGUAGGUUAUCUACUGUUGAGAGACUGUCAAGAAAAAGUGGAGAGCAGGGACUGAAUCUUGAAGAACACCAAAGUAUUCCCUGCGAGACAAGCAAGAAUGGGUGCAAAUGGUUUAUGGAAACAUUGUGGGAGAAAUACUUAAAAUUCAGAGAAUUUUAUUUAUUAAAAUUUAUUUUAUUUGAAAAUUUAGACAGGGUCACCACUGUUCAAAUCUUGCAGUGCAAGACCUGAAUUCACGUAGUUUGGCAUCCAAAACUAGAGAACAUAUAAUCAAGUAAUGUGAACUUAUACAAAUAUAUUACUUGGAAAUCAAAGAAAUGUGAAUAAUUAGGCCUGGUUUUAUGGAAGCAGAUGAAUUGAAAUUGGUAUUGAAGGUUACCUAAGAUUUGGCAGAUAGGUGAAAACCAUUAGCAAAGACAGACACAGAGGAAUUAAUAUGGCCCGUUUAAGAUCAGAGAUCAUCUGACUAAGGCAAUUUGUUGGAAAGUGUUGGCAGAAAAGAGUGACUCUGUAAGGUGGGGGCUAGGUGAUAUUUUUUCAAUGCCUGAUUGUCUAUCUUUAAGAUUUCUGGGAAGGUAAUUACAUUAAGAAAGUACUGUUUGAGGGAGAUUAAUCUGGUAAUGGUAAGCAGGAUAGCUUUAAGCAGAGAGAGACAGGAGUCAGUGAGAUUAGUUAGGAGGGUCCUGCCGUAAUCUACAUGAGAAAAUACAAAAUCCUGGACUAGAGUGGUAUAUGGUAGUGGAAAUAAAGAGAACAAAAUGAAGUCAACGUUCAAAGAGAGACUUGACAGUGUUUGGUGGCUAAAGGGGUACCAAUCAACAUUACAGGCUUCUCCCGUUUCUGCUACUUUCACUAGUAAAUGAGGUCCACUGUAAAGAUUUUUUGUUUUUUGUGCAGCGCCGCAUGCAUAUUUGGUCCUCAGUAAAUGAUUAAGUUCUCAUCUUUAUUAGAGGCUUAAAUAUUUCUAUGUUUUCAAUACUUUCAAUGCUUUCUAUUAAUGUCUAUUUUGGAAUAAAACCCAAAUUAGUCUUAAAAGACCCUGGCAUAAUCAAGGAUCAGAUCUUUUGAAAAAAGAUUUUAGAGAUGAACAGUGAAAUUAUGUAUGAAUAAAUCAGAUUUACCCAGAAUUAUAUUUGAAACAUACUAAUAAAGUCAGUUAUAGAAAAAGUUUAGAUAAAGGUCUUAGAGCAUCUCUGUAAAUUAGAAGAUCUGUUGUCUUCCAGAGUUGAAGACAAAAUAUUAUUCACCAAAAUGAAGCUAUGAGAUUAAGAAAAUCUCAUAAAUAACUAGAUUGAAAUGUUCAAAACAGUAACUUUAUGCUGACCAAUGCUUUUUAUCUAUUUUUGUCUCAUAGAAUUGGCCUAAGUAGUUAUCUUUCCACUUAGGUGUACUGAAGAUUGCUUUAUGAGGAUAGAAGGGCAGGUUUUCUUUUUUUUUUUAAGACUGUUCUUUUAGAGCAGUUUUAGGUUCACAGCAAAAUUAAGAGAAAGUUACAGAGAUUUUCCUGUGUACCCUUGUCCCCACAAAUGCAUAGUCUCCCCCCAUUAUCAGUACCCCCACCAGAGUAAUAUAUUUGUUACAGUCGAUGAACUUACACUAACACAUCAUAAUCACCCCAAGUACAUAGUACAGUAGGACUCAUUCUUAAUGUUGUAUAUUUUGUGGGUUUGGACAAAUGUGUAAUGACAUGUACCCACCCUUACAGUAUCAUACAUAAUAUUUUCACUGCCCUAAAAACCUUUGUGCUCUGCUUAUUCAACCAUCCCCCUAAGGGUGGGUUAUUUUUUGGAGGGUUUUUUGUCACUUUUUAAUUCAAGGAAUCAGUGGUAGAUAUUCUUUAUAGCUUAAUUCCUAUUUUGUUCAAAUUUUUUCACCAUUACGUUAAGCAAGUAACUUUUCUCCUUCUUCACCACAUUGCCUCACCCCUCUUUGUUUCUUGAUUAUAAUGUUCUUAAUAGCAUUAGCAUUCCAGGAUUGAGAGUUUUCUUUGAUGGGGUUUUGUUUGCAGUAAAUUAUCCCCCAAAGAGUAUGAUUUAAUUCUCUUUAAAAUAUGAAGAAUCAUGUGCACUUGUUAAAGUUCUUUGAGUUAUUUUUAGGAAGAAGUAAGAAAAUUGAAGUCUCCAUGAUUGUUUACCUUAUUUUUCUUCAUUACAAUCCAUUAUACAAAACACAAGGAGAACAGGAUAGCAUGCGUGGUGAUUAAAAGUAUAGCCUCUAGGGCUUCCCUGGUGGCGCAGUGGUUGAGAGUCCGCCUGCCGAUGCAGGGGACACGGGUUCGUGCCCCGGUCCGGGAAGAUCCCACAUGCCGCGGAGCGGCUGGGCCCGUGAGCCAUGGCCGCUGAGCCUGCGCGUCCGGAGCCUGUGCUCCGCAACGGGAGAGGCCCCA
This is a long non-coding RNA of Orcinus orca (killer whale), 4979 nucleotides long. RefSeq lists it as uncharacterized. Lineage: Eukaryota; Metazoa; Chordata; Mammalia; Artiodactyla; Delphinidae. The record is from RefSeq and is a predicted model, not a curated record. The transcript has 2 exons.